CCUGCCCCAUUUCCCCUUGAUCCGUUCACUGCACAGUCAAAGGAGCUGCAGAUCAAGAAGCAGUUCCAGGAGACAUGUAAGAUCCAGACACGGCAAUACAAGGCUCUUCGGGCACACUUGCUGGAGACCACACCCAAAGCUCAGCACAAGAGCCUUCUUAAGCGGCUCAAGGAGGAACAGACCCGCAAACUGGCGAUCCUGGCCGAGCAGUAUGACCAGUCCAUUUCAGAGAUGCUCAGCUCACAGGCGGUGAGGCCUGGGGUCUGGGAGGGACACUAUGGAGGUUGGCCUUUGCUUUAAACUUAGUUGUGGCAAAGGAAGGUGGGAUAUGUGAACAGAACUUUUGGAUUUAGGAAACUCCGGUGCUCUUUCACUACUAACAUUUUCCAUAGUGGUUUUGUCUCACAUUCUCCUUAGUGCCCUUAUUAUUUCUCUUACUAUUUCCUAAUAUCUUAAGAAAGUACCCUGCCUGCUCUGCCAAGAACCACCAAAGAAAAUAAUGACUGUGAUAUUUUUUCUGGACUUGAGUUUACUUUGUGUAAACAGGGAGCAGGGGAGCAGAUUACAAUGAGUGUGGCUCUCAGACCAUUUUACUCAGACUUCAGGAAUCUGGAAAAGAAUCUCUUAGGAAAACUGUACACAGCACUGGAGUGGGCUGCUUCAAAUGCACAUUGAGUCUAAAGAGCUAGAGGGCCCCAUUCUCACUCAGGCCCACCUCUCAGAGGUAAUUUUGUAAUGAUUAACUUGUGUAGAGUUUCCAAUGCAUAUUUGGAAGAUUAUAUAGAAAUUUUAAAACACAAUAGAAUCAGACUUUACAUAGUUUUCUGACUUUUUUUUCCACCCAGUAUUUCUUGGACAUCAUUCCAUAUCACAUGUCUAUCUCAGUUUUUUACAGUAUAGGAUUUUCCAUGGAAUAGAUGUACCAUAAUUUAUUUAACCCAUCCCUUAUUGGUGGACAUUUAGGUUGUUUCCAGCAUUUUGCUAUCACAACGCUUCCGUGAACACUUGGAGCACAUGUGCAAGUAUACCUGGGGGAUAGAUUCCUGCAAGUGUAAUUGCUGUGCCACAGGGUAUGACCAUCUUCCAUUCUCAUAGAGGUUGAGACUGCCGCUCCUUGCCACCUUAGGGCCCAGGCCUACUGGGGCAGGGGAGGAUGGUGGGGACAGAGGAGGAGGUCCCUAAACCCUGUUCUCCCUGUCCUCCAGCUCCGGCUUGAUGAGACCCAGGAGGCAGAGUUUCAGGCCCUGCGGCAGCAGCUCCAACAGGAACUGGAGCUCCUUAAUGCUUACCAGAGCAAGAUCAAGAUCCGUACAGAGAGCCAGCAUGAGCGGGAGCUGAGGGAGCUGGAGCAGAGAGUAGCUCUGAGGCGGGCACUGCUAGAGCAACGGGUGGAAGAAGAACUGCUGGCCCUGCAGACAGGGCGUUCGGAACGCAUCCGGAGUUUGCUUGAGCGGCAGGCCCGUGAGAUCGAGGCCUUCGAUGCUGAGAGCAUGAGGCUGGGCUUCUCCAGCAUGGCUCUGGGGGGCAUUCCAGCUGAAGCUGCUGCCCAGGGCUAUCCUGCUCCACCCCCAGCCCCUGCCUGGCCCUCCCGUCCAGUUCCCCGUU
This 1605-nucleotide long non-coding RNA is filed under the name Rattus norvegicus (Norway rat). RNAcentral's name for it is "long non-coding RNA NONRATT003179". The record is from RNAcentral. Lineage: Eukaryota; Metazoa; Chordata; Mammalia; Rodentia; Muridae.